UGGAGAUAAGUAUAAACUGAAGUUUCUAUUGUUGUCCUCUCUUUUCUCUUUGCCAGUUUCUUUGACCUUCACUGCUGUUCUUUACAGAUAAACAGGGUGAAUGAAGUUGAUUCCAGUUCAAAAAGUGCUCCAAUAAUUAAUUGUUCAGCAUGUUUUGCAGGAUGAAUUUCAGAGGUAAUGUUAUCAUUCAUUUAAUGUGUAUAUAGAUAAAAUUUUCCAGAACAUCUUCCCCUCUGAUGUUUGCAAAUUGUUUCUCUUCCGUUGCUGCAUUGUACUCAAGCUUUUAACAUCUUUCCCUCUGAUCUUUGGUACCAUUCCCAUUUGCAUCAAACUGAAGCUUCUAACAUCUCUGUUCAGAUGGGAUGUGCAGCUAGCAGAACAGACAUUGCCAUCGAAACAGACUGUCCGGUGACAGACUUCAAGCCGGAUAAGUUUUGCUCGAGAAGAUUUGUUGUUUCUGUAGUUUGGAUUUGAUCAACGAAUCUUUGAUCUAAAGAGAUAUUUGAUCUGUACAUAUAAUGAUAAAAAGUUGCAGCUUUUUAUUACGGUUGACGUUAGCAUAAUGAUGAAUGUUGUAAAUAUAUGAUUGCAAGGCAAGAUAUGAUUUGGUCUAAAAAAA
This 619-nucleotide long non-coding RNA is filed under the name Linum usitatissimum (flax). RNAcentral describes it as "long non-coding RNA (LUSI_LNC003029)". The record is from RNAcentral. Lineage: Eukaryota; Viridiplantae; Streptophyta; Magnoliopsida; Malpighiales; Linaceae.